UCACAUAAUAACAGGAUGUGGCAACGCACUUGACAAAUAUUUACAUGUCCUUCCACUUGUUAGGGGUAUUACCAGAAAGCUAAAGCAUUGUAGAUAUAUUAACGUAUCAAGCAAUUAAAAUCUUGGAAAAUAUUUACUUGCUCUUUACACUGCUUUUUGGCGUAUUCCCAGGUAACUGAAGACUUGGAUAUAGGUUAAAUAUCAGCUAUAAACUUAGCACAAGCCUUUUUAGUCGGUAAUAAAUCUAAACCUAACUAAAUGCUUGACCAAUAUAAGCAUGCCCUCGCACACUUUAGAAAUAUUCCCAGAUGAGGAUCGGAAGCUAUAGAUAAUUUUAUAGGGUAUUCCCAGGUAGCUGAAGACUUGGAUUUAGGUUAAAUAACAACUAUUAGCUAAAGCACCUGCAGCUUCUGAGCACAAGCAUUUUUACAGGGUACUUAAUCCGAACCUAACUAAAUACUUGACAAAUAUUUACAUGCCCCACACUCUUCCUAUAUGGCUUUAAGAUCUAUUAAGAUAUCAGCCACAAGCGAAAGAAUCUACGCAACCUAGCAAUUCUACAGAAUAUCAAUCAAACAAAUCUUAGCUAAGCUCAGACUACAAAACUAAGUAACCAAAUGGUCAAACGGUGUCCGACUAGAAAAUACUCUGCAACACGCUAAGCUUGAGGCUGCGCUCUUUAAGUUGAGAACUUUAUUCCUAAAUAAGUCUAAAGUUUAUUGUCGGUUUGUUUUAAAUUUUUCACUUAAUGGACUCUACGGAAUUUGGCCAUCUUUAAAUGUUAAAA
Long non-coding RNA from Drosophila virilis, 787 nucleotides. RefSeq lists it as uncharacterized. Lineage: Eukaryota; Metazoa; Arthropoda; Insecta; Diptera; Drosophilidae. The record is from RefSeq and is a predicted model, not a curated record.